This 253-nucleotide ribosomal RNA is filed under the name uncultured bacterium. RNAcentral describes it as "partial 16S ribosomal RNA". It matches the Rfam family "Bacterial small subunit ribosomal RNA", at positions 524 to 776 of the family's 1533-position model. The record is from RNAcentral.
UACGGGGGGGGCAAGCGUUGUUCGGAAUUACUGGGCGUAAAGGGCUUGUAGGUGGCCAACUAAGUCAGACGUGAAAUCCCUCGGCUUAACCGGGGAACUGCGUCUGAUACUGGAUGGCUAGAGGUUGGGAGAGGGAUGCGGAAUUCCAGGUGUAGCGGUGAAAUGCGUAGAUAUCUGGAGGAACACCGGUGGCGAAGGCGGCAUCCUGGACCAAUUCUGACGCUGAGGAGCGAAAGCCAGGGGAGCAAACGGG